RNAcentral lists this ribosomal RNA (497 nucleotides) under uncultured bacterium. RNAcentral's name for it is "partial 16S ribosomal RNA". It matches the Rfam family "Bacterial small subunit ribosomal RNA", at positions 28 to 507 of the family's 1533-position model. The record is from RNAcentral.
GACGAACGCUGGCGGCGUGCCUAAUACAUGCAAGUUGAGCGCUGAAGGUUGGUACUUGUACCAACUGGAUGAGCAGCGAACGGGUGAGUAACGCGUGGGGAAUCUGCCUUUGAGCGGGGGACAACAUUUGGAAACGAAUGCUAAUACCGCAUAAAAACUUUAAACACAAGUUUUAAGUUUGAAAGAUGCAAUUGCAUCACUCAAAGAUGAUCCCGCGUUGUAUUAGCUAGUUGGUGAGGUAAAGGCUCACCAAGGCGAUGAUACAUAGCCGACCUGAGAGGGCGGUCGGCCACAUUGGGACUGAGACACGGCCCAAACUCCUACGGGAGGCAGCAGUAGGGAAUCUUCGGCAAUGGACGAAAGUCUGACCGAGCAACGCCGCGUGAGUGAAGAAGGUUUUCGGAUCGUAAAACUCUGUUGGUAGAGAAGAACGUUGGUGAGAGUGGAAAGCUCAUCAAGUGACGGUAACUACCCAGAAAGGGACGGCUAACUACGUG